GCCUAUAGCUCAAUUGGCAGAGCAGCGGACUUUUAAUCCGCGGGUUCUGGGUUCGAUUCCCAGUGGGC
Molecule: transfer RNA, 68 nt
Filed under: Nigerium massiliense
Lineage: Bacteria; Bacillati; Actinomycetota; Actinomycetes; Propionibacteriales; Propionibacteriaceae
Rfam family: tRNA
About the family: Transfer RNA (tRNA) molecules are approximately 80 nucleotides in length. Their secondary structure includes four short double-helical elements and three loops (D, anti-codon, and T loops).
Source: RNAcentral